AUCCAUUUAGUAACUACAACUAACCUACAUCCAGUCUACACUCCAAGAAGGAAUGUAGAAGAGUAGGGUCAGUACAACCGCAUGUACUGGUAGGUAUCAUUCACCGACCGUGUUAGUUCAUAUAAUCAUAAAAUAGAAUUAAGGAAAAUAAAUCAUGACAUAUUUAAUGGAAUAUAAUUCAUCUAAGGUUGUAAUAAUAUGAUUACUUCACCUAUAUAAGUUACAACAUCCAACUAAUCUUCCAAAUCCAUUAAUAUUACAUUCGCUACUAACAUACUCAAGCCUCAUUAGUUCACACCAUCAACCACAAUCCAACACCAAUACAUCACUAUUCCUCUUUAUUCACCUUAUCUUACAUCACUAUUCCUUUUUAUUUACCUUAUCUUUUUCAUUACUCAUAUUCAUAUGAACAAACCCGUAAUCAUAGACAACCUACACUAAACUCCCAGGCUAACAACCAAAUGCUCUAUUAUAAUAUUAAAGAAUGAUAACUAGCAAUUUUGGUAGGCUACGAUUAAAACACGUAUAAAUGAAGCAAGUCAACCAACAUAUAAGUAAGUACCAAUUUUAACUUUUUCAAAUACAUAUCACACAAUCAAAUACCCAAUAAAUCAAUAAUACAACAACAACAAAUCAAACAGUGCUCACAAACAAGCCACAUAACCAUCAAGAGUAUCAACCAUACUGUAAACAUCCACAGACUCAACACAAAUAUGUACACACAUGCUAUAGGACUAUUUUUUUUGAAAUAGUCAUGACUUGCAAGGAACAAUCUAUGUUCAUGUACCGUACCGGCGUGGUACCUGAUCCAAUAUAUAUAUCCGUAUCGGCGUGGUACCCGAUCCAACAUAUACAUAUCCGUACCGGCGUGGUACUCAAUCCAAUAUAUUCAUAUCCGUACCCGCAUGGUACCCUAUCCAACAUAUACAUAUCUUUAUCGGCGUGGUACCCGAUCUAAAAUAUACACAUCCAUACGGGCGUGGUACUCGAUCAAAAAUAUACAUAUCCAUACCGGUGUGGUACCCGAUUUAGCAUAUACAUAUCCAUACCGGCGUGGUACCCAAUCCACCAUAUACAUAUCCGUACCGGCAUAGUACCCGAUCAAAUAUAUAUAUAUCCAUACUGGUGUGGUACCCUAUCCAAAAUACACAUAUCCAUACCGGCGUGGUACCCGAUCCAACAUAUACAUAUUCAUACCGGCAUGGUACCCGAUCCAACAUAAAUAAGUAUUAUCAAUAUCAAAUUUACAUAACCUCGCAGUAUACAACACAAUGUACCAAGUUUACAAGUAUACUUAAAGUCAUAUGACAAUUCCAUCAAGUAAAUUUUUAAUAAUAAUUUAUACACGCACCAACAAUCCAAACAUCAACAAUUUCAAGCAUGUCCGAAUACCAAUCAACAAGUAUUCAUAGCAUUACUUUAAGGAGUUAUCAUUAUCAAACAAGACUCUCAUAGGCACAAUUAAUAAACCACCAUUAUCACCAAUUUAGCCUCUCAAGGACAUCCAAUAGAUAUAGUAUUUUUUUCAAUGUCAAAACAAGAAUAUCAUAAAAUAAAUCACAAUUUAGUUCUUACGCAUACAAGUCACUAUUGGAGCCCUAAUUACUCAUUAAUUAUUAAAAAUAUCUAUUUUCUUAAAUACUGUAAUUUGAGUUAUAACAUCAGCACCUAUAACUAACACAUUCACACGUAUCAUUAUCCUCUACCUCUUUCCACAUAAUACAACCAUCACACUAAUUCAAGUUAUCUAUUCCUUAGAUAUUACUAUGCUCAUCAAUAUUCGAUCUUAGCAUAAUUCUUCUCAUCAUAUUAUUGCACAAUACAUACAACCUAAUACCAUUACAACUCUAUUAGGUUCAUCACUAGAACAAUUAAAAAAAUGUCAUGUUCAUAUACUACGUUUAUAACAAUCUCCUUUCGGGCACAUAACACAAAAUAUCAUAAAUAUUACAUAAUCAAUCAAUAAUAUAAUUUUUGGGAUUAAACUUAAAUAUUCAUGCCUUUAUCCACCUCAGCUCCAUGCCAACAUGCCUAGACAUGAUUUUUCCCAUCAAUUCUAAAUUAUGAAAAUAUAAAAUAACACAAUCUUCUACUCAUCAAAUCUAGCCUACCUAGACUCCAAACUUUUAAAAGAAACAAGCAGCAACCAAGAUGCUCUUUCCUUUUCCUUCAUGCCUUGGAAUAAUCAACCAUCUAAAAAUCAAGCAAUAAUAAAAGUAAUUAAAUAAUUAUUCUUCAAACAAAUAUCUUGGGGAUUCAAAAUCACUAGUUCAAUCCUUAAUUCAAGGUCUAUAUUAUUUUUCAAUGUUAGGUAGCCAUUAAUUAGCUCUUUUAAGCUUAAUCCAUCUCCAUUAAUGGAGUUUCUAUGCUAAAGGUCUCAUCUUUACGGAAUUCAAGGUUCCUAACCAUCAAAAUUCAUAAUACAGUUUAUGAAAUUCAUGUUAGGAAUCUUUUAUUUUUAGUUUAGAAUCGGUUAUAGGUCAUAUUAAAAAUACCCAUGGGUAUUUCCCAAAAGAAUUCCACCAUUAAAAGUCUUUCUAAGGAUUCUAAGAUGUUAAAAGGAUUAAAAGACGAAGAAAAUAAUGGAAAAACUUACCUCAAUGAAGGAAUUUCAUCUUCAGCCUUGGGAAAUCCUCUCUCUAGUGUUGGAUAAUGAAAUUUGGGGGUUUUGGACAUAAAAUACGGCUGAAUUUGAUUUAAAUACAAUAAGAAUUUUUGUUACAGUGAAAUCCCAUUUCAGUCCAGAUAGUGCUCUGUAAAAUAGUCAUAACCUUUUACUCCGAAUUCGAAUUGAGGAACGGUUUAUUGCAUUGGAAAGAGGACUCAAAAAUAUUUAAUUUGAUAGGUAAUGGGACCCUUAAAUCCUUAUAUUCUAUGAGAUAUGAUCGUUUGAAGUUGGCCCUAAUAAAAACCCAUAUCGAAACUGUAUCGGAAAGAAAGUUUUAAACUUAACUUUGUGUUAGGGAUAUUGUAUGACCUUAGUUAAUAGCUACAAAAAUUUAAAAAUAAUUUAUUGAUAUUAGAACUCAUGAAUAAUUAAAUUCAUCAGGCUUGAGUUUAUCUAGACACAUCUGAAAACUAAGAUCUUCACCGAAAAGUUUAAGGUGACAUAAUAAAUAAAAUAUUGGUUAAUUUGGACCCAAAUUAAUAUUGAGAAAUGAAUUUAUUAUGAAUAAUUUAGUAACGAAAAAAUGGUUUGUUAUACUUUCGGGCUUCAUUUGGCGAGAAAAUGUUUUGACUUCUUUUAUUAUACACCGUGGGAUAGUGCCCAGCUACUGUUUUCAGUGUAUAUGCACUGUAUAUCAGCGUAUAUGCACUGUAUAUCAGCGUAUACCAGCUUAUAUACUUGUCUCUUGGUUCAUUUUCGGGACUUUGGCCGAGGCUCGGACAUGACGAAGUUCGAAUGCGAGGAUAAAUAGAGUCCAAGUGGACUCAAUAAAGAUGAGUUCAUGCACAAAUGGAGAAAUUAGUACCGAAUCUUGUAAGAGGGAAAGAAAUAAAUAAAAUCCAUGUAAA
Molecule: long non-coding RNA, 3516 nt
Filed under: Capsicum annuum
Lineage: Eukaryota; Viridiplantae; Streptophyta; Magnoliopsida; Solanales; Solanaceae
Description: long non-coding RNA (CANN_LNC010046)
Source: RNAcentral